Molecule: ribosomal RNA, 303 nt
Filed under: uncultured bacterium
Lineage: Bacteria
Description: partial 16S ribosomal RNA
Rfam family: Bacterial small subunit ribosomal RNA
Source: RNAcentral
AGCAGCAGCCACGGGAAUACGAAGGGUGCAAGCGUUACUCGGAAUUACUGGGCGUAAAGCGUGCGUAGGUGGUUGUUUAAGUCUGCUGUGAAAGCCCUGGGCUCAACCUGGGAAUUGCAGUGGAUACUGGGCAACUAGAGUAAGGUAGAGGAUAGUGGAAUUUCCGGUGUAGCAGUGAAAUGCGUAGAGAUCGGAAGGAACAUCUGUGGCGAAGGCGACUAUCUGGGCCAUUACUGACACUGAGGCACGAAAGCGUGGGGAGCAAACAGGAUUAGAUACCCCCGUAGUCCCCUGUCUCUUAUA